Long non-coding RNA from Mustela putorius furo (domestic ferret), 2059 nucleotides. NCBI's taxonomy places the organism in Eukaryota, Metazoa, Chordata, Mammalia, Carnivora, Mustelidae. The record is from Ensembl.
UCCAAACCACAAAGGUCAAGGCUGUCUGAUAUCUCUGCAUGGCCAGCUACUCUCAGGCCAAAAUAGAAACUAGAUGUACAGAAGGCGAUUCUCUUACUGUGUGGUAUAAAUCAGAACUCUGCAAAAUAAACUUUGGCACUUGCUUGAUACGUUCGCCUGUGACUCUCCUGUUUCCCACAUUCCCUUUCUUCAUUCUUACAUCCUUCAACCCUGUUCCCUCUUGUCGCACCGGCCAUGACAGGUGGCGCUCAAACAGAGACCUGAAGACAAGUGGCAUUUCAAUUGAGGACUUCGUAUCAGGUCGCACAGCAGCUGGACACUUUUGGCAUCCAGACUUUUCUCCUCCUCCUUAUGCUAGGUGGAAAGACCCCCCCUCGUGGGCACUUGGAAGGGUCCUAACCCUGUCCUCCACAGAGGACGCGGUUUUGCGUUUUUCCACAGAAUGAGGACACCCGGUGCUGGAUGCCAGAGAGAUGGUGCCGACCCCUCACCCUGUGACAACAAAUUGCAACACUGACCCUGAGUCGGAGAAAUCAGGGGAGGAGAAGAAGACGUCUCCCCCCCUUACAGCGGAGGGAUGUUUCAUGCAGAACUCUAGAAACUAGUUGCCGCCCUGGGACCAAUCAGAGUGCAAAUAGCCGGAAAUGGUUAUACUGCCACAGAAGACUUCAAUCUGACUUUACAGGCCUGUAUUCCUUAGACCCUUUUUACUGGUAUUGGGAUCGGGAUCAAUAAUCCUCACCUAUUUUCAACAAGAACAUCUAUUGUAUAAUAUUCAUUGUGACCAUUGUGUGUUAACAAAUUGUCUACAUGUGUCCCUGCCUUCAUCAGGUACAGGUCCCAUGACAGUGCUUAUAACUAUGCAACCUCCAUAUAUGUUAUUGCCUGUAGAAGUUACAGGACCUUGGUAUGCUAACUAUGGAUAUCAGUUUGCUUUGGAAUUAGAAAAACAGUUAAAGUGAACAUGUCUAUUUGUUGGGUUACUUAUAAGAGGAAUUGCAGCAUUAGUUUCCCUAAUAGCCACAGCCACUGUCUCUUCUUUGGCAUUAACUUCACACUGCAGAACAUGUUAAUACUCUGUCUUGAAAUGAAUCUCAUGCUUUAUCCACUCAGGAGACCAUCGAUAGAAAUAUGUUGGGUAGACUAGAUGGUCUUGAAGAAGCAGUAGAAUAUUUGGGAAAUCAAUUAUCUUUGCUCUGGACUCAAAAGUCAUUGGCAUGUCAUGGAGAAUAUCAACACAUAUAUAUUACGCCCUUACGUACAAAUAACCACUCCUGGGAAAAUGUUCAGAGACAUUUGCGUGGUACCUGGCAUAAUACCAAUUUGAGCCUGGACCUGGCUGAGCUACAAUUAAUGCCAUUGAAAAAUUACACUUGGACAUUAUAGACCCUUCUAAUAUUGCUGAACAAUUCCUGAAAACUCUCAGGGGGUUUAACCCUGGGAACAUUUUGCAACAUUCCUUUUGGCUAUUUGGUGUACUGCUCAUUUUAAUUGUACUAAUUACAAUCAUAUGGUGUUGUAUGUGUAACAGGUGGAACAGGUCAGCUGCUUUGACACAGGCGCAAAUCUAUUUUCUGCAUUUAAAACAAAAAGGGGGAAAUAUUGGGAGCCUCGUGCCUAGAAGGGGUUAACCCAAUAGAGCAACAGUUCUUGGGAACCUCUUCAACUGAGGACUUUCACAGGUAGCGAGCUAGAGUGCCACUGUGUCUCCCUGCUGAUUGUUAUGAGAACAUUGUAAGGUUUGGCUUGUUGCCAUUGCAGCUGCUGUCUCAAAACUAAACUAAUAAGGCUCCUGUGUUUUGAGAAUAUUGAGUUAUGGCCUAAGUGUCCAAACCACGAAGGUCAAGGCUGUCUGAUAUCUCUGCAUGGCCAGCUACUCUCAGGCCAAAAUAGAAACUAGAUGUACAGAAGGCGAUUCUCUUACUGUGUGGUAUAAAUCAGAACUCUGCAAAAUAAAUUUGGCACUUGCUUGAUACGUUCGCCUGUGACUCUCCUGUUCCCCACAUUCCCUUUCUUCAUUCAUUAAAAAAAAAAAAAUUAAAAAAAUGUUAAAGUCCCA